AGAGUUUGAUCCUGGCUCAGGAUGAACGCUGGCGGCGUGCUUAACACAUGCAAGUCGAACGAAGACAUCUGAGUGCUUGCACUUGGAUGGACUGAGUGGCGGACGGGUGAGUAACGCGUGGGUAACCUGCCUUAUACAGGGGGAUAACAGUUGGAAACGACUGCUAAUACCGCAUAAGCGCACGGUAUCGCAUGAUACAGUGUGAAAAACUCCGGUGGUAUAAGAUGGACCCGCGUCUGAUUAGCCAGUUGGUGGGGUAACGGCCUACCAAAGCGACGAUCAGUAGCCGACCUGAGAGGGUGACCGGCCACAUUGGGACUGAGACACGGCCCAAACUCCUACGGGAGGCA
This 350-nucleotide ribosomal RNA is filed under the name uncultured bacterium. RNAcentral's name for it is "bacterial SSU rRNA". It matches the Rfam family "Bacterial small subunit ribosomal RNA", at positions 8 to 350 of the family's 1533-position model. The record is from RNAcentral.